Equus caballus (horse) is the source of this 2063-nucleotide long non-coding RNA. RefSeq lists it as uncharacterized. The record is from RefSeq and is a predicted model, not a curated record. NCBI's taxonomy places the organism in Eukaryota, Metazoa, Chordata, Mammalia, Perissodactyla, Equidae.
CAGCCCCACAAUCUUGUUUUUUAAAAAAUUGAGGAAAGAGAAAAAAUGCAAGGCUGGAUUCGGCACCUCAGCCUUGAAGCAAGUGAGAGAGACCCAGAAUCAGGAAAUUCGGGGAGAAGCUUCAAAAAGGACAAACAGACUGGAAGCUUCCCAAACUCCUGCCGCUCUCCAGGGCUGUCUGCAGGCUCCUUGACUGCAGGAUACCACCUCCUGUCUGUGCUGCCUUCUUCCCCACAUCAAAAUGAGCUCAUGUCUGCGAAAGCUCCCUGUAAACUUCAAAUUGCUAUACAAUGUUAAGAUGUCAUUAUUAAUAUUAUCUAACAUGACAAACUCAGCUCAGAGAAGUUGACUUUCUCAGCUAGUUACUGGGAGAACUGAACUUUAACCCAAAUCUACUAGGACUGAGCCCAGCGCUCUUUCCUAAUCGGAUUAGCAGACCAUAAUCAUGUAAACUCAGAGACAUAUUUUCCCAGUGAAGUUGGAUAUAUCUGUAUGUUGGAGCUGUUUAGUUGACUUUAAACGGAAAUUAACUUUCAGUGACUAGUUUUGGAGAACAAAUAAAACGUGCAGAAAUUUUACAGGUAGAACUUUACACAAUGGCUCCCUUCAAGACGAGAUCCUUGGUGCCUCUCAUACCUUUCAACUGUGACUAUUAAAACAGAGUUCCUUAUGUCUAAGGGCUUUAAGAUGAAGCCAGGGAGCCAUCAAGGAAUGGGGGUCUUAGGCAUGUCCUCAUGGGGCAGAGCAUGACCUUUUGAACUGAGUAACUGCAAGAAAUCUGCAGCUCGUCACAGUGAGACUUCUGUCUCCCUCUAACUAGCUUUAUCCAUCAUGCUUAACCAAGAUUAGCUUUCUGUCACCAACCCUAAUUAACAAUUCUUUCUAAUAAACCUCUCUCUUUUGCCUUUAAAAGCCCCUGCCCCUUACUCCCUAGCGGGACACUAUUUGGGCUGCUUCCCAAAUCUUUGUACCCCAAAUGGCAAUUCUUUGAUCCCAAAAUAAACGCCUCUCAUUUUGACUAUUUUUAGGUUAACAUAACUUUGUUGCAACUAUUUCCUCUUUCUGUAGGGCUCCUUUACAAGAAAGGCCUAACAUCAGAUUGUGUUGCAGGAACAAAUUGAUUGCUCUAGUCUGAGAUUUGGCAACAGAGAAACUAUGCUGAGUCAACGUGACUAAACAUCGGGACACACCCAAGUUAUUACAGAAUAGGCAUUAUUUUAGGCAAACAUGUUUAAAUAUCUAAUCAAACAGCCAAUAAUUUUUUUUUAUUACUAAUGUUACAUGCUACACAGCCUUCCCAUUUCUUCGUUAAGGUGCUAACUAGCAAUAAAUAAAUAAAUAAAUAACUGCUUCCCAUGAUUGUUGGAAAACUCCAGCAAACUGGCUUAAGGAGAGCAGGGCUGGGACAAAGGCAAGACUCUCCCGCAGAUGAACGGAUAAAGCCAGGGCUUGCCAGAGCUGGAGCCGGAGCUGCAGGCUGCUUCAUGCUGACCUUUAGUUUUUAGGAAAUCCUCACAUGCUUGGCUUGGCUUAAGAAAAAAUAGUAAGAAUGUUUACUGUUCUCCUUAACAUUUUGCCUUAUCCUAACUCCCCAAAUCCCAAAUCAAAGCAUGGGCAGGAAUUCUACAAAAACAGCCCUUCUAUGCAAAUCUUCUAGGGCAGAGAAUUCUUUGAUUUAUGAAGGGUUCAGAAAAGGCCUGCCUAAGAUGCACCACUUUGGCAUGAAAUAUUUUCAGCUAAAGGCAAUGGAGACCCUGCGGACUCAAGAAACUUUUUACCUCUUCCUUAAAGAAUUUCAACUGGGGACUUGUCCAUAAUAAGAGCUAUUACCAGAAAUAAACUUUUAUCACCAAUCAGUAUAGCAGGACAAACCUCUAAUUAGUGGGCAUCUGCUCUUCUUAUUGCCCCGUGAAUUACUCCACUCCCCUCUGAAGCCUCAGGCCCCUAUCCCAUUCCUUAGCUCAAGACGGCACACGUACCUCAAUUCACCUCUUUGUCUCUGACCCUCUCAUGUCUGUGGGGUUCCCAUAUGUACAAAAUUAAUUAAAUUUGAUUUUCUCCUA